This is a long non-coding RNA of Cyprinus carpio (common carp), 375 nucleotides long. RefSeq lists it as uncharacterized. The record is from RefSeq and is a predicted model, not a curated record. The transcript has 2 exons. NCBI's taxonomy places the organism in Eukaryota, Metazoa, Chordata, Actinopteri, Cypriniformes, Cyprinidae.
UGGCAUGUGGAGCAAUAUAAAUGUGAAUAAGAAAACUGGAGAAUUCAGUUUUACUAAGAUCCAAAUCGACCAGACUGGAACUUAUGAAGUGGAGAUCAACACCCGCAAUUUGAUCUUACACAGGAAAUUCAGUAUUACUGUUGCAGAAAACAAUCAAACGUUUCGGCAGUAAGCCUUCUUCAGUGAAUCAUACAGUGACAUUUCCUACAAGAGAUCUUAAAGAGAUGAAGUCCAAAGAUCACCCGGUGAAAAGUCACAUAACAGGUGUAACCGAUCACAAACUUAACUGACCAAUAAAUCAAGCAAUUUCAGGACAAACAGCUAAUUUCAGGACAAACAGAUAAUUCCAAAACAUUCAACACAUAAAAAUAACAU